Molecule: ribosomal RNA, 578 nt
Filed under: uncultured archaeon
Lineage: Archaea
Description: bacterial SSU rRNA
Rfam family: Archaeal small subunit ribosomal RNA
Source: RNAcentral
UAUGGGCCGCCGGGAAUACUACAAAGCUAGGGAGUGGGAGAGGUAGACGGUACUCCGUAGGAAGGGGUAAAAUCCUUUGAUCUAUGGAUGACCACCUGUGGCGAAGGCGGUCUACCAGAACACGUCCGACGGUGAGGGAUGAAAGCUGGGGGAGCAAACCGGAUUAGAUACCCGGGUAGUCCCAGCUGUAAACUAUGCAAACUCAGUGAUGCAUUGGCUUGUGGCCAAUGCAGUGCCGCAGAGAAGUCGUUAAGUUUGCCGCCUGGGAAGUACGUACGCAAGUAUGAAACUUAAAGGAAUUGGCGGGGGAGCACCACAAGGGGUGAAGCCUGCGGUUCAAUUGGAGUCAACGCCAGAAAUCUUACCCGGAGAGACAGCAGGAUGAAGGUCAAGCCGAAGACGUUACCAGACAAGCUGAGAGGUGGUGCAUGGCCGUCGUCAGCUCGUGCCGUGAGAUGUCCUGUUAAGUCAGGUAACGAGCGAGAUCCCUGCCUCUAGUUGCCACCAUUACUCUCAGGAGUAGUGGGGCGAAUUAGCGGGACCGCUGCAGUUAAUGCGGAGGAAGGAAGGGGCCACGG